This 253-nucleotide ribosomal RNA is filed under the name uncultured prokaryote. Its description in RNAcentral is "partial 16S ribosomal RNA". It matches the Rfam family "Bacterial small subunit ribosomal RNA", at positions 525 to 777 of the family's 1533-position model. The record is from RNAcentral.
ACGAAGGGGGCUAGCGUUGUUCGGAAUUACUGGGCGUAAAGCGCACGUAGGCGGAUUGGUCAGUUAGGGGUGAAACCCCGGGGCUCAACCUCGGGUCUGCAGUCGAUACGAGCAAACUAGAGUGUUGCAGGGGAGACUGGAAUUCCAGGUGUAGCGGUGAAAUGCGCAGAUAUCAGGAGGAACACCGGUGGCGAAGGCGGGUCUCUGGGCAACAACUGACGCUGAGGAGCGAAAGCGUGGGGAGCAAACAGGA